GAAGCGAAAGUAAAAUUUCGUGGAGGUCCGAACCCACGAGCGUUGAAAAGCUCGGGGAUGACUUGUGGGUAGCGGUGAAAUUCCAAUCGAGCCCGGAGAUAGCUGGUUCUCCCCGAAAUAGCUUUAGGGCUAGCCUCAAGGUGAGAGAUACGGAGGUAGAGCACUGAAUGUCCUAGGGGGUAUUGCACCUACCGAAGACUAUCAAACUCCGAAUGCCGUCAUCUUAUACUUGGGAGUCAGACUGUGGGUGAUAAGAUUCAUAGUCGAAAGGGCAACAGCCCAGAUCGUCAGCUAAGGUCCCUAAAUGUAAGUUAAGUGGUAAAGGAUGUGGGAUUGCACAGACAACCAGGAUGUUGGCUUAGAAGCAGCCACUCAUUCAAAGAGUGCGUAAUAGCUCACUGGUCGAGUGAUCCUGCGCCGAAGAUUUCCGGGGCUAAAACUUACUACCGAAGCUACGGCAUCAGUAAUGAUGGGUAGGGGAGCUUCCCAUACGGGUUGAAGCAUGACCGUAAGGACAUGUGGACAGUAUGGGAGUGAGAAUGUUGGCAUGAGUAGCGAGAUGUGGGUGAGAAUCCCACAGGCCGUAAACCCAAGGUUGCCAGGGGAAGGUUCGUCCGCCCUGGGUUAGUCGGGACCUAAGCUGAGGCCGAAAGGCGUAGGUGAUGGACAACAGGUUGAUAUUCCUGUACUACCGAUAACCGUUUGAGAGA
RNAcentral lists this ribosomal RNA (710 nucleotides) under Clostridioides difficile. RNAcentral's name for it is "bacterial LSU rRNA". It matches the Rfam family "Bacterial large subunit ribosomal RNA", at positions 747 to 1465 of the family's 2925-position model. Lineage: Bacteria; Bacillati; Bacillota; Clostridia; Peptostreptococcales; Peptostreptococcaceae. The record is from RNAcentral.